Molecule: ribosomal RNA, 497 nt
Filed under: uncultured bacterium
Lineage: Bacteria
Description: partial 16S ribosomal RNA
Rfam family: Bacterial small subunit ribosomal RNA
Source: RNAcentral
GAUGAACGCUGGCGGCGUGCCUAAUACAUGCAAGUAGAACGCUGAAGCUUGGUGCUUGCACCGAGCGGAUGAGUUGCGAACGGGUGAGUAACGCGUAGGUAACCUGCCUCUUAGCGGGGGAUAACUAUUGGAAACGAUAGCUAAUACCGCAUAAAAGUCGAUAUCGCAUGAUAUUGAUUUGAAAGGUGCAAAUGCAUCACUAAGAGGUGGACCUGCGUUGUAUUAGCUAGUUGGUGAGGUAACGGCUCACCAAGGCGACGAUACAUAGCCGACCUGAGAGGGUGAUCGGCCACACUGGGACUGAGACACGGCCCAGACUCCUACGGGAGGCAGCAGUAGGGAAUCUUCGGCAAUGGGGGCAACCCUGACCGAGCAACGCCGCGUGAGUGAAGAAGGGUUUCGGAUCGUAAAGCUCUGUUGUAAGAGAAGAACGAGUGUGAGAGUGGAAAGUUCACACUGUGACGGUAACUAACCAGAAAGGGACGGCUAACUACGUG